ACUUUUUUUUUUUUUUUUUGGCUGCACCUGCGGCAUGCAGAGAAGUUCCCGGGCCAGGGAUGGAACCCAUGCCACAAAUAUCUGCAUUUAAAUGUUUAUAUUCUAUCCAUGAUGGCCAAGAAUUGGAAGUUAACUAAAUAUCUGUUAACAUGUGAAUAACAGAUAUUAACACAAUGGAAUGCUAGUCAGCAAUAACAACAAAUGAACUAGUGAUACAUGCAGUCACGUAGAUGAAUAUCACAUCCGUACUGGGCAAAGCAGUCUGAUAAAGGAAUGUAUACUGUAUGCUUCCAUUUAUAUGAAUUUUUGUAACAGGUGAGAUUAAACAUAGUUGCAGAAUUUUGAUCAGAGUUUGCCUGUUAACUGUGGGAGGAGAGAGAGAAAUUGUUGGUAUGAGAGAACUUCUUUGGGUGAUAGAAAUAUUCCAUAUCUUGAUUAAGGAGGUAAUUUUAUAGGUGAAUACUUUUGUUAAAACUCAUAAACUACACAUUUAAGAUGUGUAUUUGUAGGUAAAUUAUAACUCAUUGAAUCUGAUAAAAAAUUUUAAUCAAAUAAGUAUUUAGUUUCUGCUAUGUAUAAGACAAAGUCUUGAAGUCAUGAAGUCUUAGCAUUUCAAGUUCCUUAAAAAAGAUGGUCUUUCUUUUCUAUGUAGAUGUUAGUUAGCCUCCCCCUCAGCUCUAUUCAUUGAUCUCUCCUUCCUGGCCUCCACCUUUCUUGCCCACAUGCAGUAUCAGUUAUUUUGUUUUUGUUUUUGUCUUGUUUUGUUUUGUUUGAGACUGGUUUGACCUAAUAGUAAUCAUUUUAAGAAGUUUUAUUUUGUUUGCUUUGUUAAUGUUAAAAAGAUGUGGUCACAUCCAUGGUUCUGAAAAAUUGGCACACUAUAGAGAUGAACAGAUAAGCAUCCAACUUUCAUCAUCAUCCCUACUAGUUAUUUUAUACAAUAAAUCCUUGAAUAUCAGUUUGUUACUGAUGCUCUGAUGCUCAGGCCAAAUAAUCUUCUCAGAUUCACAUAUCAAGACUCCCAAACUCUAGGACUCAGAUGUCAUUCAUUAUGCACCCUUUCAUAUUUAUGACAAUCAAUUUUCAUUAUAAAAUUCCGUUUAUAUAACUCAAAUGCUUCUCUAUAAUUUUCAAGAAUAAAGAGUGCCACUUCCGUCCUACUAUAAUCCAGAUCAUGAAACCUGCCUCUUUCUUGUAUCUUAAGUAUCUAUUUUCCUUUUGAUGUUGAUAUUAAAAGUAAGGAUACAAUAAGAGAAAAAGUUGGAGUGAUUUUUUUUUUCACUGUCUUAUUUACACUCCAUUUAUAUAAUGUAUAAAUCUUGGCUAAAAUUCUCUAAUUCUUCUCUGGAACUUCAACAGAUUAGAUCUAACGAACCCUAGAGAUUUCUUCCUACAUUUCUGAGUCUAUUUCUCUCUGUACACUGUGUGUCUUUUAGUGGUUAGUAUGACCCAAGAGAAAGUCCAAAAGUGAAAUUUAACAUUCUUAUAUGCUUCAUUUAUUAUGCAUGAGGCAUGUAAUUUAUAUGUUGCCUUACUUAAAAUAUGUCUGUGUUUGAUAUAGCACACUGACCAGCUGCUUCAUGCAAGCUAUAAAAAUUUUUCUUUGGUUUAACAAUAACUUUGGAGAAUUGUUAUAUAAAUCUUAGAAAUGUUAACAUGGAAAAAGAAAUAUACUUUGAUUUUGCAGAAAGGUCCUCCCAAAUCAAUAGUAGUAAAUAAUUAACUUACCUCAUUGGAAACAUUCUUUAACCUUGAGCUAGCUCACAAUUGCAUUAUUCUUUUUGAUAAAAAUGGUAUAAACAAGUCAUAGGCAAAACAUUUAUUUGGCUUUAGGAUGUGAAAUAGACUUUUAAUCAUUUGCCUUCAGGCCUAUCCAAUCUUUGUUCUACUUGGUUGAAUUUUCUGUGUGUUUGUGAUGAAAAUGAAAGAACCUAAAACAUUGCACAUUCUGGUAUGUUUCCACCCAUAAUUCACAAUACUUCUUUUUUAUCUCUCCUUCUCAAGGUUCAGCUUAUAUUGUUGUGUGCUUUUCUUGUUGAACAUGUAGUAGGUCUGAUAAACCAAGCCCUUUCCUUUAUCAUCUUUAAAAAUAGUCAAGUCACAAGGAGACUGAUUCUAAGGAUUAAACUGUGUACAAAUAAAUACAUACCAAAGCCCAAUUAGUUCAUGGUCAUCUGCUAACUUGGAGAAUAUCAAGUGAUUUUCUCUGUGAUUUAGCCUUAUGUAGUUUGUGUUUUCCUACCCAGAAUUAGGAUGUGCAUGUGUGUUUUAGUCAAAUCCAAUGGUGAGAGACUUCUGGAGCUCUUGGAAGACUUGAGCAAGGGGUGGGGAUGGGGACAUUCCUAUGAAUACCCUGGGGUUGUGUUUCCAUAUUGUCCCUUUGUAUUCCAUUUCUCUGGCCUGUAUUCCCCAAAGCCUGAACUGUGUUUCUUAAAGAGACUUGGAAUAGAUCUUGCUACAAAUCUCAGAAUUGUGGAUGUGAAAGAGGGGUGGAUAUCAAGUGGGAGGCAAAGUUCAAUGUGACUUCACUCCAGCUUCAGCAGGUAAAAACUGAGUGGCCUGCUUUUACUUCAUAAUAAAAGGAAACCUAUAUACAAAGCUGUAAACUACUGAAAACAUCUUUUCUGAAAAAGCCAAAUAUGGACUUUUUAUAAACAAGUAUAUGUAAUUGCAGCCUCAUUUUUCUUCUUUUUCAUUUAAAAUUUUGUUUUAUUUUUUUCAUUAUAGUUGAUUUGUAGUCUUCUGUCAGUGACUGCUGUACAGCAAAGUGACCCAGUUAUACAUAUACACACAUUCUUUUUCUCACAUUAUCUUCUAUCAUGUUCCAUCACAAGUGAUUGGGUAUAGUUCCCUGUGAUUGUUGCUUAUCCAUUCUGAAUGCAAUAGUUUGCAUCUACUAACCCCAAUCUUCCACUCCCUCCCUCUCCCCCCACAGCCUCAUUUUUCUGGUCAUGGAGGCAGAGAGCUUAAAUAUUUGAGUGGCCAGUGGUAGCAUGUUCAUUGCCCACCCCCCAUUCUCUAAUAGGUAUUGUAGAUUACACAGAAAAUGGAAAAUGAGAGUCAAUUUUUUUUCCUUGUUAUAAUCCCCAAAAGAAGGCAGAGGAAGGAAGAAAGAAGAACAAAAAAGAACUGCAAAUUUAAUUAUCCAGAGCAGUUGAAUUAAAUGCCCUCCGGAGGCAACCAGGGAGCAAAUAUUACACACCUGAGGAAAAGAAUCAAUGCUGAUAGACAGCUACUAAUCUCCUAGGCCACUUGCAUUAGGACAGCCGGCCCGAAUUACCUGGGUGUCACCUGAUUGGCCAAUAGUAAGGUCAGGAUUUUGGUCCAGCAGGUGCAAAACCUGUUGUUUACUUAACAAUGUUGGCAGCAGCUGCUGCUGCUUGUGCUGUUUCAAAGCAAUUAAAGAGUGUGCUGUUUAUAAGGUUGCCAGGUGCUGGCUUCCUUGUGUGCUAUGACAGGUGGGGCAAAAUUUCAUGGAAACACCUGCCAGCCUCCAAGACAGACCUGUGCUAACUGGCUAUUAUGUACAUAGCAUUUAAUCUUUCAUGGGUUUAGCUGACAAAGCAGGAAACAUAGCUACAACAUCCACAAAGGGCUGAAGAGAUAUGAUAUAUAAGUACUUUUUGCUUGCCACUGCAGACAGGCUAUUUUGGAUGUUAGGAAGAUUCUAUGAUAUUACACUUAUCAGUGUGUUUGGAGAGCACAGAAAACAUCCCAAAUAGAAAAAAAAGUUACCUAGAGGCAUCAUAUAUUAAUCAUUAUUGUUAUCAAACUGAUUUAUGAAACUUUAUAGCAAUUACCUCCCAGUGUUGAAAAGCUUCUUACUGUCUUUCCCUCUAGUUAUAGUUUUCUUCUUCUUAGAAUAGUUGACACAAGAAAAGUACCCAAUAUGCAUCCUAGAAAUAAGUGAAAAUAACUACUACAGCUUUUGGAUUUAUUUGGGUUUUUUUGGGAACACAUAAGUGACUUGGGUCUUUUGUUUUCUUUGCAUGAACAACAGAAGACUCCUUGUGGAAGAAAUAGAAACCUAGAGAUUUUCCAAAGCAGAUGCAGAUAAAUAAGGAUACUGGGUGUGUUCUGGAUACUACACAGCAGCACCAUUGAUAUGAAUAAGAUGUUGGAAACAAUGAUGGUAAUUUUCUUUGAAGAAAUAAUUUCUACAAAACACAGAGCACACAGUCCUUUUCUUUCUUAUUUACCCUCUGAACUCCAGAAAAUAAAUUGUAUCUUCUUCUUAGGCAAACCCAAAAUAUGGGAUAAAUGUCUCUUUGAGAUGUAUUAACCAACUACAGGUGAGGCAAACAUUUUUCAGAUGGCAGAUCCCCUCCUUUGGGAAUUUCUUUGAAGGAGAUUUUCAUGGGCAGAGGUUCAUGAUUAUACCCUAUAAAUAUACAUAGAAAACAAAACCAUUAGGCAUUUCAUAAACGUGUCAUGAUGCUAUUCCAGGAAUUUCAUGCUAUUCAAAGAACUCAAGUUCCUGUGUUGCUGAACCAUCAUCUCACCCUUGACUCUAUUUACUGCCCAGAGACUCUCGAGUUCUCUCUACCUGGACAAGUCUACCACAAUGAAUUUUAUAGGAGAGAGGAUUCCUCACUUCAGGACCUCAAAACUUGAGUGUUUCAGUUUGAAGCUUUGAGUCUUUUUCUUACCCUAUUUACUCUCACAGUCUCUUCUUAUCACUCCUCCUCAUUAACUUCUUACUCUUACGUACAUUAUUAACAUAUAUAAAGUUUAAACAUUUUAGGGGAGGGAAGCAAUGUUAUUCUAUUACAUAAGUAACAAGUAGAUUUUUUGGUAAAGUAUUCAAACAAUUCAUAAACAGGCAAAGUCUCACAUGAAUUUUUUUGUUUCUUUUCCUCAAAUUAAAGUUGUCCCCUCCAAGGUAAGUGUCACUAAAAGUUUGAUAUAUAAACUUUUGUGUGUGUUAUAGCCAUAUAUACUCAUAUUCAAAUGGGCUCGUUUCAUUCAUAUGGUUUUAUGAUUUGCUUUCUUAAAAAGAUGUUUGGGGGAUUUUUCCAAGUCUAUAUACAUAAUUCUACUUCAUUCAUCUUAAUGGCUAUAUUGUAUUACAAAGUAUGGAUGUUCAUUUAUUUUGCAAUAUUUAAGAUAAAAGGCUGCUUACGAAAUUAUUGUCAAGGCUAAGAAAUGAUAUGUUACCAAUAUUGUGGAAGCUCUGUGUAACCCCCCCUUCCUGCCCCUCCUCUUCUCCAAUGACUCUAAACUUGAAUUGGGACUUUAUUAUUCCUUUGCAAUUCUUUGUAUUUUCUACUUUCUGUUGCCUUGUUUACGUAUGCCUUAACACUACAUAGUACUUUUCUGCAUAUUUCUGAACUUUAUGUAAAUAAUAUCAAAAGAAAUUUGAUGUUUCCCCUCAGCAAAAUGUUUAUGGUAUUCAUCAGUGUUGAGAUAGAAAUUUCUAGUUCAUUAGUUUUUAACUUUUAUUGUUGUUGGAUAAUUUAGUAUAUAAAUACAGCAUAAUUUAUUCACUCUCCAGGUAAUGGAUAUUUACAUGUUUUCAAUUUUUAUAACUAAAAAUAACAUGUUGAGAACUUCUGGUGUCUGGUCUAGUGUGUAAGAAGUUAGGAACCCAUCACUCCCAUUCUUACAGAAGCUGAACACAUUGAAAAUCAAUAACUGUCGUUAGGCGCUCCAUCUGUGGUGUAGUAAGUUAAGGACUCUGACUAUAGCAACUCAAGUCACUGUUGAGGCACAGCUUUGAUCCAUGGUCUUUCACAGUGGGUUAAGGAUCCAGCAUUGCUGCAGCCAUGGCAUAGGUCACAGCUGCAGCUCAGAUUCAAUCCCUGGAAACUUCCAUAUGCUGUGGGUGUGGACAUUAAAAACACAAAUAAAAAAAACAAAACAAAAAAACUCUCCUUGGAUUUAGCAGAGAAUUGAGGUUGCAAGGUAAACUACUAACACUAAAACUGAGGAGACAGGUGGAUACAGAUACAGAAGCUGUUGGAGCAAAAGCCCAAGAGCAGAAAUAACCUCAGAAAUAAGUACCAAGGAAGAAAAUACCUAAACCACAAUGAACAAAUUGUUAGGCAAAUCUGAGAGGAAACCUCUAGAGUACCUAGCCUUAGGGGCACCUGAUACUUUUGUGAGUAUUCCUACAGGGUUCUCAUAGUAAAGCUCAGAAAAAAUUCCCUUUGCUUAUGGAGACACAGGGGGAAACUAGUCAUAUUUAAUUUUGUCCAGAGCGUUCUGUUCUCUUACCAAAGCCUAUCAUCAAGGGAAACCAUUUUACCAGAGCCUAACCAUCCUGAGGCAAAGGAAACAUCUAACUCCAGACCCCUCUAGCCUUUCUGCCUCACCUAAAGGGAGAACAACAGAAACACUGGUAAGAGUCACAGAGCAGGGGCACAGCUCAGUAAAAGGCUGAGACCUAAUUCUACAACUAUGGAAUGCAUUCUUCUCCCUACACUUACAUUAAAUCAACACGUCUCCUGUGAAAUAACAGGAAAAUACAAAAGAAAGAACUGCGUGGGUUUGACUUUAAGGAAAAUUUUCUAGGAAAAUCCAAAAACAGCAGUAGAGACAAAAACAAGGACACCAGAAGAAAUUUUAGCCUCGGACACUCACAAUUACAGCAAACAUUAAACACAGACUAACUCCUAGCCAGAAGAACAUAAAAACUUACAUUAAAAACUAUUUCAGGAGUUCCCAUCGUGGCACAGUGGUUAACGAAUCCGACUAGGAACCAUGAGGUUGCGGGUUUGGUCCCUGGCCUUGCUCAGUGGGUUAAGGAUCCGGUGUUGCUGUGAGCUUGUGGUGUAGGUUGCAGACGUGGCUUGGAUAAGGUGUUGCUGUGGCUCUGGUGUAGGCCAGCAGCUACAGCUCCAAUUAGACCCCUAGCCUGGGAACCUCCAUAUGCUACAGAAAAGGCCCAAGAAAUGGCAAAAAAAA
Molecule: long non-coding RNA, 6906 nt
Filed under: Sus scrofa (pig)
Lineage: Eukaryota; Metazoa; Chordata; Mammalia; Artiodactyla; Suidae
Description: lncRNA (ENSSSCG00035024947.1, ENSSSCG00175026517.1)
Source: RNAcentral